This 131-nucleotide small RNA is filed under the name Salmonella enterica subsp. enterica serovar Derby. RNAcentral's name for it is "RtT sRNA". It matches the Rfam family "RtT RNA". From Rfam's summary of the family: This family represents a bacterial cis-regulatory element known as RtT RNA. The exact function of RtT is unknown although it is thought that it may be involved in changing the cellular response in relation to amino acid starvation. The record is from RNAcentral. RNAcentral also lists the same sequence under 9 other names. Lineage: Bacteria; Pseudomonadati; Pseudomonadota; Gammaproteobacteria; Enterobacterales; Enterobacteriaceae.
AUAUCUCUCCGUACGGGAAGGAUGAGAAGCUUCGACUAAGGUUCGAUUCGAGCGCAGCGAGAAAGCGUUGCCGUAGGCAACGACCCGAAGGGCGAAGCGCGCAGCGCUGAGUAAUCCUUCCCCCACCACCA